CCUACGGGAGGCUGCAGUGGGGAAUAUUGCGCAAUGGGCGAAAGACUGAAGCAGCGACGCCGCGUGAGGGAUGACGGCCUUAGGAUUGUAAACCACCGUCUGCAGGGAAGUAAGGUCACUGUGGUAAUCAGCUGUGUAUUUACGGUACCUGCAAAGGACGCACAGGCUAACUCCGUGUCAGCAGCCGCGGGAAUACGGAGGGUGCGAGUGUUAAUCGGAUUUACUGGGCGUAAAGCGCUCGUAGGCGGUAUGUUAAGUCAAGGGUGAAAUGCCCGCGCUCAACGUGGGAACUGCCUUGGAAACUGGCAAGCUGGAGUGUGUGAGAGGAUAGCGGAAUUCGAGGUGUAGGGGUGAAAUGCUUAGAUA
RNAcentral lists this ribosomal RNA (366 nucleotides) under uncultured bacterium. RNAcentral describes it as "partial 16S ribosomal RNA". It matches the Rfam family "Bacterial small subunit ribosomal RNA", at positions 338 to 696 of the family's 1533-position model. The record is from RNAcentral.